RNAcentral lists this ribosomal RNA (266 nucleotides) under uncultured Bacteroidota bacterium. RNAcentral's name for it is "uncultured Bacteroidetes bacterium partial 16S ribosomal RNA". It matches the Rfam family "Bacterial small subunit ribosomal RNA", at positions 454 to 719 of the family's 1533-position model. Lineage: Bacteria; Pseudomonadati; Bacteroidota. The record is from RNAcentral.
GCGAUUCUUCGUCACUUGACGGUACCAGAUGAAUAAGCACCGGCUAACUCCGUGCCAGCAGCCGCGGUAAUACGGAGGGUGCAAGCGUUAUCCGGAUUCACUGGGUUUAAAGGUUGCGUAGGCGGGCAGGUAAGUCAGUGGUGAAAUCCUUGAGCUUAACUCGAGAACUGCCAUUGAUACUAUCUGUCUUGAAUAUUGUGGAGGUAAGCGGAAUAUGUCAUGUAGCGGUGAAAUGCUUAGAUAUGACAUAGAACACCUAUUGCGAA